UACAGAGGCCUCGAGCGUUAGGCGGAAUCACUGGGCUUAAAGCGCGUGUAGGCGGAUCGUUAAGUACCUUGUGAAAUCCCACGGCUCAACCGUGGAACUGCUGGGUAUACUGGCGGUCUUGGGCCAUCUAGGGGGUCGCCGGAACAAGCGGUGGAGCGGUGAAAUGCGUAGAUAUCACUUGGAACGCCGACGGUGAAAACAGCUCGCUGGGUGUGUUCUGACGCUGGAGGCACGAAAGCCAGGGGAGCAAACGGG
RNAcentral lists this ribosomal RNA (255 nucleotides) under uncultured bacterium. RNAcentral describes it as "partial 16S ribosomal RNA". It matches the Rfam family "Bacterial small subunit ribosomal RNA", at positions 524 to 776 of the family's 1533-position model. The record is from RNAcentral.